AUUGAACGCUGGCGGCAGGCCUAACACAUGCAAGUCGAGCGAGCGGCGGACGGGUGAGUAAAGUCUGGGAACCUGCCCGAUGGAGGGGGAGAACUACUGGAAACGGUAGCUAAUACCGCAUACCAUCUGAUGUGCCCAGAUGGGCUUAGCGGGUAGGUGGGGUAACGGCUCACCAAGGCGACGAUCCCUAGCUGGUCUGAGAGGAUGACCAGCCACACUGGAACUGAGGCACGGUCCAGACUCCUACGGGAGGCAGCAGUGGGGAAUAUUGCACAAUGGGCUCAAGCCUGAUGCAGCCAUGCCGCGUGUGGGAAGAAGGCCUUCGGGUUGUAAAGCACUUUCAGCGGUGAGGCGUUACCCGCAGAAGAAGCACCGGCUAACUCCGUGCCAGCCGCCGCGGUAAUUC
This 406-nucleotide ribosomal RNA is filed under the name uncultured bacterium. RNAcentral's name for it is "partial 16S ribosomal RNA". It matches the Rfam family "Bacterial small subunit ribosomal RNA", at positions 29 to 526 of the family's 1533-position model. The record is from RNAcentral.